GUGGGGAAUAUUGGACAAUGGGCGAAAGCCUGAUCCAGCCAUGCCGCGUGUGUGAAGAAGGUCUUCGGAUUGUAAAGCACUUUAAGUUGGGAGGAAGGGCAGUAAGUUAAUACCUUGCUGUUUUGACGUUACCGACAGAAUAAGCACCGGCUAACUUCGUGCCAGCAGCCGCGGUAAUACGAAGGGUGCAAGCGUUAAUCGGAAUUACUGGGCGUAAAGCGCGCGUAGGUGGUUUUGUACGUUGGAGGUGAAAUCCCCGGGCUCAACCUGGGAACUGCCUCCAAAACUGCAUGACUAGAGUACGGUAGAGGGUAGUGGAAUUUCCUGUGUAGCGGUGAAAUGCGUAGAUAUAGGAAGGAACACCAGUGGCGAAGGCGACUACCUGGACUGAUACUGACACUGAGGUGCGAAAGCGUGGGGAGCAAACAGGAUUAGAUACCCGGGUAGUCC
Molecule: ribosomal RNA, 450 nt
Filed under: uncultured bacterium
Lineage: Bacteria
Description: partial 16S ribosomal RNA
Rfam family: Bacterial small subunit ribosomal RNA
Source: RNAcentral